UGAGGAAUAUUGGUCAAUGGGCGAGAGCCUGAACCAGCCAAGUAGCGUGCAGGAUGACGGCCCUAUGGGUUGUAAACUGCUUUUAUAUGGGAAUAAAGUGAGGGACGUGUCCCUUAUUGCAUGUACCAUACGAAUAAGGACCGGCUAAUUCCGUGCCAGCAGCCGCGGUAAUACGGAAGGUCCAGGCGUUAUCCGGAUUUAUUGGGUUUAAAGGGAGCGUAGGCUGUUUGUUAAGCGUGUUGUGAAAUGUAGGAGCUCAACUUUUAGAUUGCAGCGCGAACUGGCAGACUUGAGUGCGCACAACGUAGGCGGAAUUCAUGGUGUAGCGGUGAAAUGCUUAGAUAUCAUGACGAACUCCGAUUGCGCAGGCAGCUUACUGUAGCAUAACUGACGCUGAUGCUCGAAAGUGCGGGUAUCAAACAGG
This 424-nucleotide ribosomal RNA is filed under the name Verrucomicrobiota bacterium. RNAcentral describes it as "Verrucomicrobia bacterium partial 16S ribosomal RNA". It matches the Rfam family "Bacterial small subunit ribosomal RNA", at positions 355 to 776 of the family's 1533-position model. Lineage: Bacteria; Pseudomonadati; Verrucomicrobiota. The record is from RNAcentral.